GACGAACGCUGGCGGCGGGCUUAACACAUGCAAGUCGAACGGAAAGGGUCCACCUUGCUGUGGAUCUCGAGUCGCGAACGUGUGAGUAACACGGGGGUAAUCUUCCCUGCGCGCUGUGAUAAGCCUGGGAGACUGCUUCUAAUGCUUGAGAUGUGCUGUCUCCUGAUGGGGUUUUGUGGAAAGUUCGUCAGUGUAUGAUGCUCCGUCGGCUUAUCAGCUUGGUGGUGGGGUGAUCGCCUACCAAGGCGACGACGGGUAGCCGUCCUGAGAUGGUGAGCGGCCACCUUGGGACUGCGAUACGGAGCAGACUCGUACGGGAGACAGCAGUGGGGAAUAUUGCACAAUGGGCGGAAGUGUGAUGAAGAGACGCCGCGUGAGUAAUGACGGCCUUCGGGUUGUAAACCUCAUUCAGCAGGGACGAAGCGUAAGUGACGGUACCUGCAGAAGAAGCACCGGCUAACUACGUG
RNAcentral lists this ribosomal RNA (467 nucleotides) under uncultured bacterium. RNAcentral describes it as "partial 16S ribosomal RNA". It matches the Rfam family "Bacterial small subunit ribosomal RNA", at positions 28 to 507 of the family's 1533-position model. The record is from RNAcentral.